ACUGUUGCUCUCAUAUAUGCUUAAGAAUACGUUAUCAUCCCCCAAUAACCUGAUAAGCUCAAGAAUAUUUUCUCCCCAUCUCCCCCGUGCAAGCGCGCCAUCUCUAUCGUAUAAGCUGGCUGCAACGAACACCUUUUCGUUUCGCGGGUUCCCCCUGCCUGGGGACUGUGAAUUCAAUACGGUAUGUCGGAGGGAAUUGUAAUGGACGGGAGGAUGUGUAUAGGAAGGGCGGAUGAUAAACGUGAGGAGCGCGAGGGCGGAUAUUAUUCCGCAGGACGCGAAACAAAUAAAACAGAGCCGGCGUAAGGUAAGACGACGGCGAAACGUAGCAUGCUUGCUUUUCUUCCAGGAAGUUUGGCCUGGUCGGCGACCUCGAGGGGGAUGCUGUUGUCCGGUGAAGAAUGGGAGGAGAGAACGUAAUCGGGAUAUCAGAGAAGCGGCUUGGUGUGGGUAGCUGUGGCUGGAUGUAGGAUGAGGAGAUUCGAAAUCGGCAGCAUCCAGGUCAAAGCUAUCUCGAGACUCGAGGGACGGACGGUUGAGGAGUUCAUAUUCAUCUGGAUGAAGCGGUCGUGAAGACAUUGCUGUGUGCGUGGGACGGCAUAGAUGUCUAGACAUCCAGCGUGUUGACGAAAUAUUUUCAAGCGUUAGUUCGCCCAGUCAGCAG
RNAcentral lists this small RNA (664 nucleotides) under Histoplasma capsulatum var. duboisii H88. Its description in RNAcentral is "Histoplasma capsulatum H88 hypothetical RNA". Lineage: Eukaryota; Fungi; Ascomycota; Eurotiomycetes; Onygenales; Ajellomycetaceae. The record is from RNAcentral.